AACGAACGCUGGCGGCAGGCCUAACACAUGCAAGUCGAACGCCCCGCAAGGGGAGUGGCAGACGGGUGAGUAACGCGUGGGAACCUUCCCAGUGGUACGGAAUAACUGAUCGAAAGGUUGGCUAAUACCGUAUACGCCCGAAAGGGGAAAGAUUUAUCGCCAUUGGAUGGGCCCGCGUCGGAUUAGCUAGUUGGUGAGGUAAUGGCUCACAAAGGCGACGAUCCGUAGCUGGUCUGAGAGGAUGAUCAGCCACACUGGGACUGAGACACGGCCCAGACUCCUACGGGAGGCAGCAGUGGGGAAUAUUGGACAAUGGGCGAAAGCCUGAUCCAGCCAUGCCGCGUGAGUGAUGAAGGUCUUCGGUUUGUAAAACUCUUUCGCCGGGGAAGAUAAUGACGGUACCCGGAGAAGAAGCUCCGGCUAACUUCGUGCCAGCCGCCGCAGUAA
This 447-nucleotide ribosomal RNA is filed under the name uncultured bacterium. RNAcentral's name for it is "partial 16S ribosomal RNA". It matches the Rfam family "Bacterial small subunit ribosomal RNA", at positions 29 to 523 of the family's 1533-position model. The record is from RNAcentral.